GAUGAACGCUGGCGGCGUGCCUAAUACAUGCAAGUCGAGCGAACAGAUGAGGAGCUUGCUCCUCUGACGUUAUCGGCGGACGUGUGAGUAACACGUGGAUAACCUACCUAUAAGACUGGGAUAACUUCGGGAAACCGGAGCUAAUACCGGAUAAUAUAUUGAACCGCAUGGUUCAAUAGUGAAAGACGGUUUUUCUGUCACUUAUAGAUGGAUCCUCGCCGCAUUAGCUAGUUGGUAAGGUAACGGCUUACCACGGCAACGAUGCGUAGCCGACCUGAGAGGGUGAGGGGACACAGUGGAUCGGAGACACGGCCAAGACGCAAAGGGGAGGCAGCAGGAGGGAAUUUUCCGAAAGGGGCGAAAGCCUGAGGGAGAAACGCCGGGGGAGAAAUGAGGGUUUGGGGAGUGAAAAACGCUUUUAUGAGGAAAAAAAAAAUGUGAAAGGAAAUAUGAACGUCUGGAGGUAACUUAAUAAAAAAGCAAGGGUUAAUUACGU
This 496-nucleotide ribosomal RNA is filed under the name uncultured bacterium. RNAcentral describes it as "partial 16S ribosomal RNA". It matches the Rfam family "Bacterial small subunit ribosomal RNA", at positions 28 to 506 of the family's 1533-position model. The record is from RNAcentral.